GACGAACGCUGGCGGCGUGCUUAACACAUGCAAGUCGAACGGAAAGGCCCUGCUUGCAGGGUACUCGAGUGGCGAACGGGUGAGUAACACGUGGGUGAUCUGCCCUGCACUUCGGGAUAAGCUUGGGAAACUGGGUCUAAUACCGGAUAGGAGCCAUCUUUAGUGUGGUGGUUGGAAAGUUUUUUCGGUGUAGGAUGAGCUCGCGGCCUAUCAGCUUGUUGGUGGGGUAAUGGCCUACCAAGGCGGCGACGGGUAGCCGGCCUGAGAGGGUGUACGGCCACAUUGGGACUGAGAUACGGCCCAGACUCCUACGGGAGGCAGCAGUGGGGAAUAUUGCACAAUGAGCGCAAGCCUGAUGCAGCGACGCCGCGUGGGGGAUGAAGGCCUUCGGGUUGUAAACUCCUUUCGCUAGGGACGAAGCUUUUUGUGACGGUACCUAGAUAAGAAGCACCGGCUAACUACGUG
RNAcentral lists this ribosomal RNA (465 nucleotides) under uncultured bacterium. RNAcentral describes it as "partial 16S ribosomal RNA". It matches the Rfam family "Bacterial small subunit ribosomal RNA", at positions 28 to 507 of the family's 1533-position model. The record is from RNAcentral.